UGACGAGCUGUUUUCUUGUGCCGCUUGCACAGUGAUUUUUGCUUCGGGCGCGGGAUUCCAACAGUGCAAAGGGGGCGUGAUCACUUGUCUUUUAAAUAAAGACCCGUAUGAACGGCUAAAUGAGGAUAAACCUGUCUCUUAUAACUAAUCAGUGAAACUGAUCUUCCAGUACAAAAGCUGGAAUAAACACAUAAGACGAGAAGACCCUGUGGAGCUUAAAACUAUUACUAAACAGCACUAAGCUGAUUUAACAUACGUUUUCAGUUGGGGCGACUUCGGAAUAAAACACAACUUCCGAGCACAGAGCCACACCCUCUAGUUAAGACUAACAAGUCAAAACACCAAAAUCGACCCGGCCUUGCCGAUCAACGAACCAAGUUACCCCAGGGAUAACAGCGCAAUCUUCUUCGAGAGCCCCUAUCAACAAGAAGGUUUACGACCUCGAUGUUGGAUCAGGACACCCAAAUGGUGCAGCCGGCUAUUUAACGGUUCGUUUGUUCAACGAUUAACAGUCCUACGUGAUCUGAGUUCAGACCGGAAUUG
RNAcentral lists this ribosomal RNA (543 nucleotides) under Aspronema dorsivittatum (Paraguay mabuya). RNAcentral describes it as "partial 16S ribosomal RNA". It matches the Rfam family "Bacterial large subunit ribosomal RNA", at positions 1881 to 2624 of the family's 2925-position model. The record is from RNAcentral. Lineage: Eukaryota; Metazoa; Chordata; Lepidosauria; Squamata; Scincidae.